Telopea speciosissima is the source of this 158-nucleotide long non-coding RNA. RefSeq lists it as uncharacterized. The transcript has 3 exons. Lineage: Eukaryota; Viridiplantae; Streptophyta; Magnoliopsida; Proteales; Proteaceae. The record is from RefSeq and is a predicted model, not a curated record.
GGAUCGAGCAUAUAAUGUUCAUGAAAAAAGUGUUGCAUAUGCUGUAGAGGAAGCUUAACCAGACUUCAUAUUCCUCGGAGUGUACACCAGCCAGAUCUUUGCCUUACUCACCAUUGAUGAGGGAGAGAUUCCUGUCACAUGUCACCUCUACGUUGAUA